ACUCUUUAAGACCGUCUAUGCGUUACUAACGAUAUGGACUGACACUUGUCGGUGUCGAAAGGUCAAGGAAGUUGGUGAUUUGAUCGCAUGCGAAUCUGCGAUCGAAGCUCCGAUGAACGGCGGCCAUAACUAUAACGGUCCUAAAGUAGCGAAAUUUAAUUUCUUGACGAAUAAGUUUCAACCCGUACGAAAGGUAUAA
Molecule: non-coding RNA, 199 nt
Filed under: Capsicum annuum
Lineage: Eukaryota; Viridiplantae; Streptophyta; Magnoliopsida; Solanales; Solanaceae
Description: Bacterial large subunit ribosomal RNA
Rfam family: Bacterial large subunit ribosomal RNA
Source: Rfam by way of RNAcentral